CUUUAAUCUCAAUACUAAAUUUACAAGGUAACAACAGAAAUCCAUCCAUAUCUUGAAAAUUCCAAUUCAUGAUCGCAAAAUCCCAAAAAUCGGUGUAGGAAAGCUGCAAAACUAAUAUAAUCUUCCUUUCUCCUACUCGAUCUUCUCUCAUGCCACCCUUGAACAAUUAAGCCGUACCUGACCUGCUGAACCUGUUAAGACAUGAAGAUCUGAGAGCUUCAUCAUUGCCUGGGCAAAGUCUCGGAGGAACAAGCUGACAUCUGAAGCAUAUGCUUUGACCCAAAUCCCAGUUUCUUCCCCGGACAUUAGUUGCUGGUCAGAAUAGAGGAUUCCUCUACCUUGCAGAAGACUCUGGUAGAAAACUGAGCCAAAAUCUAUUCCAGGUCCCUCAUAGGCCAUAUUGAUUCCUGGAUCCUCCAGUAGAGAACCUUCAUAUGAAACUGAUGAUGUUGUAGAAGACGAUGGUGAGAAAGACACUGAGCCUUGUAAGGAAAGUGAUGGUGCUGCUGCUGAUGACAUUGCCCCAUUCUUUCCUGGGUCCCCAGAGGAUGAUCCAGUAAGAAGGUGGUGCUGCUUCUGGGUGCUGAUGAUAAUGGCCCCGAGGCAUCAAAGGAAGGUGAUGCUGAUGGAGUCACUGAUAUAUCACUGUUGUUGCAUCUUGAUCUCAUUUGGUCAAGGAAUUGAAGAUCAAGAGAGGGAUCAGGAUUAUUAGUCCCAACAAAGUUGUGGAGACCGUUUUUGAAGAAUUUCCAGUGAAUUAUUCCAACGCUGUGAGCACCUAGAAGAAAGGUAAGCGCACAAUUAGAAACGUAAAAGUUACGAUUCCAGGUUGCUGCAGAGUGCAUAUUUUUACAAAACUGAGGCUGAUCAAACGCACAAAUCUGUGGUUUCACACAGAUAGACGGAAGGUACAAAGGAAUGAGCAGAUAGCCAUUCUACAGAACAAAAUUGUAACCAGUUUUAGCAGAUUUGCUCUCACUUCAAGGGGAUUCAUUUCCAAAAGAAUAUUCUAAUCAACAGGUACCAGUUUUUGUUUAAAUCAAGCAAACUCACCCCCAAGUAUGGUUUAAUGGGUA
Molecule: unclassified non-coding RNA, 1076 nt
Filed under: Hevea brasiliensis (rubber tree)
Lineage: Eukaryota; Viridiplantae; Streptophyta; Magnoliopsida; Malpighiales; Euphorbiaceae
Source: RNAcentral